Long non-coding RNA from Sinocyclocheilus rhinocerous, 176 nucleotides. RefSeq lists it as uncharacterized. The record is from RefSeq and is a predicted model, not a curated record. Lineage: Eukaryota; Metazoa; Chordata; Actinopteri; Cypriniformes; Cyprinidae. The transcript is spliced from 3 exons.
UGGUGGAUCAGAUCGGCAGUUCUCACAUGCACAGCAGUGAUGAUCCAGAAGCAGCAAGGACUGCUAGCUCCAAGGUCACCACCACACUUGGAUUGGUCGUUCAUGCUGCAGCUGAUGGUGUUGCUCUUGGAGCAGCUGCGUCCACGUCUCAGACCAGCGUCCAGCUCAUUGUAUUU